RNAcentral lists this ribosomal RNA (805 nucleotides) under uncultured bacterium. RNAcentral's name for it is "bacterial SSU rRNA". It matches the Rfam family "Bacterial small subunit ribosomal RNA", at positions 8 to 813 of the family's 1533-position model. The record is from RNAcentral.
AGAGUUUGAUCCUGGCUCAGGAUGAACGCUGGCGGCGUGCCUAACACAUGCAAGUCGAACGAAGCGGUUGAGAGGAAGUUUUCGGAUGGAAUCUUAAUUGACUGAGUGGCGGACGGGUGAGUAACACGUGGAUGAUCUGCCUCACACAGGGGGAUAACAGUUAGAAAUGGCUGCUAAUACCGCAUAAGCGCACAGUGCUGCAUGGCACAGUGUGAAAAACUCCGGUGGUGUGAGAUGAGUCCGCGUCUGAUUAGCUAGUUGGUAGGGUAAGGGCCUACCAAGGCGACGAUCAGUAGCCGACCUGAGAGGGUGACCGGCCACAUUGGGACUGAGACACGGCCCAAACUCCUACGGGAGGCAGCAGUGGGGAAUAUUGCACAAUGGGGGAAACCCUGAUGCAGCGACGCCGCGUGAGUGAAGAAGUAUUUCGGUAUGUAAAGCUCUAUCAGCAGGGAAGAGAAUGACGGUACCUGACUAAGAAGCCCCGGCUAACUACGUGCCAGCAGCCGCGGUAAUACGUAGGGGGCAAGCGUUAUCCGGAUUUACUGGGUGUAAAGGGAGCGUAGACGGCGAAGCAAGUCUGAAGUGAAAGCCCGGGGCUCAACCCCGGGACUGCUUUGGAAACUGUUUUGCUAGAGUGCUGGAGAGGUAAGUGGAAUUCCUAGUGUAGCGGUGAAAUGCGUAGAUAUUAGGAGGAACACCAGUGGCGAAGGCGGCUUACUGGACAGUAACUGACGUUGAGGCUCGAAAGCGUGGGGAGCAAACAGGAUUAGAUACCCUGGUAGUCCACGCCGUAAACGAUGAA